Molecule: small RNA, 216 nt
Filed under: Kibdelosporangium phytohabitans
Lineage: Bacteria; Bacillati; Actinomycetota; Actinomycetes; Pseudonocardiales; Pseudonocardiaceae
Description: Kibdelosporangium sp. KLBMP 1111 Actinobacteria sRNA Ms_IGR-5
Rfam family: Actinobacteria sRNA Ms_IGR-5
Source: Rfam by way of RNAcentral
ACACGAGAGAGGAGGUGGUCCAAAGUUGUAUACCAACGGGACACGUGAGGUGGCUGUCCGCUAAGGACCACCAUCUGGCUCCAGCCGGCCGCCGAACACGGCAGACGCUGGUCAUCCAGCGCCGUUGACGCGGGCGUUGGUCGGCGAAUCCAAAGCAGCCACCGGCUCUCGGGGUUCCUGGGAAGUUCGUCCAAUCCCAGGCCUCGUGCACAGCAC